This is a long non-coding RNA of Bubalus bubalis (water buffalo), 1615 nucleotides long. RefSeq lists it as uncharacterized. The record is from RefSeq and is a predicted model, not a curated record. The transcript is spliced from 3 exons. NCBI's taxonomy places the organism in Eukaryota, Metazoa, Chordata, Mammalia, Artiodactyla, Bovidae.
GGGCUGACUGCUCUUCCUGUCCAAGGGCUGCUCCUGCCAGAGACAAAGGGACUCCUCCCCACGACUGACCCUGCAGAGGGGGACUUAGCAAGAAGCCGAGCAUCGGCUGUGGAGGCAGCAGGUGAAGGCAGGGCAGGGACAGGACAGCGCUGCAAUCAUUUUUGGCUGCACCAGGCAACAUGUGGGACCUUACUUAGUUCUCUGACUAGGGAUCGAACCCCUGCCCCACUCCCUGCAGGAGAAACGUGGAGUCUUAACCACUGAACUGCCAGGGAAGUCCCUCCAAUUAUUCAACAUGCUCCCUCCUUGCUGUGCCUGACUUCCCCAUCGCCCACUUGGCUAACUUUAUUCCAGCCCCAAGCUGCCCUUCAAGUUCAUACCAUAAUACCAAUGACCGCAAUGAUAAUAAUAGGAUCACGGGAAAGAGUUGUAGGGGGUUGAAUAUUGCCCCUUCUACGGCCCCAAGAGAUAUAUGUCCGUGUCCUAACCCUGGGACUUGUGAAUGUGACCUUACUUGGUGAAAGAGUCUUUGCAGGAGUAAUUAAGGGCUCUGAGAUGAGAUCAUCCUGGAUUAUUUGGACAGGUCCUAACUCCACUGACAAGUGUCUUUAUAAGAGACAGAAGAGGAGGGAAUUCCCUGGUGGUCCAGUGGUUUGGACUCCCUUGCUUUUCGUUGCCGAAGGCUGGCUUGGGUUCGAUUCCUGGUUCAGGAACUAAGAUCCUGAAAGCCACCAUGCAGCCAAAAAAAGAAAAAAAAAAAAUGACAGAAGAGGUGAUGCACAGGAAAAAUACAAGUACACAGGGAGAAAGAAGAGGAGGCCCUGUGAAGACAGAGGCCGAGACUGGAGGGAUGCCAAGGAACAUCUAAACGCUGGAAAACGAGAGGAACAGCUCUUCUCUAGAGACUUCAGAGGAGCAGGGCCCUGCUGACACCCUGAUCUGGGUCUUCCGGCCAGUAGAACCGUGAAAGAAUAAAUUUCUGUUGCCAGCCCGUCUGCAGCCAUUUGUUACAGCAGCCAGAAAAAGAGCCAUGGGCUUUGGGGUUCAAACCCUGGCUCCCACUUACUAGCUUGUGCUGUUGGACAUCCCUUUCAUGCCUCAGUCUCCUCAUCUGGAACGUGGGGAUGAUGCUAAUACCUGCUUCAUAGAAUUUUCAUGUGAAAAUUGAGUUGGUACAUGAAAGAUUAUUUAAAAAGGGCAUGAUACUUUGUUAAGUAUCCAAAAAUGGUUAGCUUUUUUUUUUCCUACACUGCAGGGCUUGCAGGAUCUUAGUUCCCCGGUCAGGGAUUGAACCCUGGUCCCCUGAAGUGAAAGCAAGGAGUCCUAACCACUGCACCAUCAGGGAAGUCCCUAAAGGGUUUUAUUUUUGGCCGCACUGCCUGCGGAACUUUCCUAAAGAGGGAUUGACCCUAUGCCUCCUGCAUUAGAAGGGCAGAAUCUUAACCACUGGACUACCAGGUUUUGUAUCUGAGGCAAACGCGUGACUCAUCUCUUCCUGGUUUCUUGAUGUCACGUCCCCAGGGAGGUCUUCCCGGCCAUCUCAAAUAACAGCUCUGCUCCCCCAAAUUCACAUCCUCCUUAAUAUCUUAUCCGUGCCUGACAUUAAGGCAUACAU